CUGACCAGUCCCAAAUAGGACGAAACGCGCGUC
This 33-nucleotide non-coding RNA is filed under the name Schistosoma mansoni. The record is from RNAcentral. Lineage: Eukaryota; Metazoa; Platyhelminthes; Trematoda; Strigeidida; Schistosomatidae.